RNAcentral lists this ribosomal RNA (630 nucleotides) under Grifola frondosa (maitake). Its description in RNAcentral is "eukaryotic LSU rRNA". The stretch from base 198 to 351 matches the Rfam family "5.8S ribosomal RNA". Lineage: Eukaryota; Fungi; Basidiomycota; Agaricomycetes; Polyporales; Grifolaceae. The record is from RNAcentral.
UAUAAGUUAGAAAAGAGGGUUAGUCACUGGCUUCAUAUCAAGGAGGAUCCGCUCAUCCGCUCUCACACCUGUGCACUUUCUGUAGGUCGGUUCGGGAUCCGGUCCCUCGCGGGGUCGGGUUCUGCGCCUUCCUAUGUACAAUCACAAACGCUUCAGUAUUCUCAAUGUCCUCACGAUAAUUAAAACGCAUCUUAUACAACUUUCACCAACUGAUCUCUUGGAUCUCGCGUCUAUGAAAAACGCAACGAAAUGCGAUAAGUGAUGUGAAUUGCGUAAUUCGCUGAAUCAUCUAAUCUUUGAACGCUCCUUGCGCUCCUUGGUAUUCCUAGGAGCAUGACUGUUUGAGUGGCAUGAAAUUCUCGACCCUCACAUCCUUGUGAUGUGGACGGGCUUGAACUUUGGAGGUUUCUGACGGCCCCCCAUUCCGGUCGGCUCCUCUGGAAUGCAUUAACUCCAUCCCUUGCGGAUCGGCUCUCGGUGUGAUAAUUGUCUACACCGUGGUCGUUGAAGCCUCUGAAGGGAGAGCUGAUAAUCCUCACUUCCGGACCAUCUAAUACAACUUCUGACCCCAAAUCACGUAAGACCACCCGGUGAACCUUAUCAAAUUAAUUAACCGAAGAAAGCGAAGAA